Molecule: ribosomal RNA, 871 nt
Filed under: Enterococcus faecium
Lineage: Bacteria; Bacillati; Bacillota; Bacilli; Lactobacillales; Enterococcaceae
Description: bacterial SSU rRNA
Rfam family: Bacterial small subunit ribosomal RNA
Source: RNAcentral
UCAGGACGAACGCUGGCGGCGUGCCUAAUACAUGCAAGUCGAACGCUUCUUUUUCCACCGGAGCUUGCUCCACCGGAAAAAGAGGAGUGGCGAACGGGUGAGUAACACGUGGGUAACCUGCCCAUCAGAAGGGGAUAACACUUGGAAACAGGUGCUAAUACCGUAUAACAAUCGAAACCGCAUGGUUUUGAUUUGAAAGGCGCUUUCGGGUGUCGCUGAUGGAUGGACCCGCGGUGCAUUAGCUAGUUGGUGAGGUAACGGCUCACCAAGGCCACGAUGCAUAGCCGACCUGAGAGGGUGAUCGGCCACAUUGGGACUGAGACACGGCCCAAACUCCUACGGGAGGCAGCAGUAGGGAAUCUUCGGCAAUGGACGAAAGUCUGACCGAGCAACGCCGCGUGAGUGAAGAAGGUUUUCGGAUCGUAAAACUCUGUUGUUAGAGAAGAACAAGGAUGAGAGUAACUGUUCAUCCCUUGACGGUAUCUAACCAGAAAGCCACGGCUAACUACGUGCCAGCAGCCGCGGUAAUACGUAGGUGGCAAGCGUUGUCCGGAUUUAUUGGGCGUAAAGCGAGCGCAGGCGGUUUCUUAAGUCUGAUGUGAAAGCCCCCGGCUCAACCGGGGAGGGUCAUUGGAAACUGGGAGACUUGAGUGCAGAAGAGGAGAGUGGAAUUCCAUGUGUAGCGGUGAAAUGCGUAGAUAUAUGGAGGAACACCAGUGGCGAAGGCGGCUCUCUGGUCUGUAACUGACGCUGAGGCUCGAAAGCGUGGGGAGCAAACAGGAUUAGAUACCCUGGUAGUCCACGCCGUAAACGAUGAGUGCUAAGUGUUGGAGGGUUUCCGCCCUUCAGUGCUGCAGCUAACGCAUUAAGC